UACGUAGGGUGCUAGCGUUGUCCGGAUUUAUUGGGCGUAAAGGGCUCGUAGGCGGCGUGUUGCGUCGGGAGUGAAAGCCCGCUGCUUAACGGCGGGUUGGCUUCCGGUACGGGCAUCGCUGGAGUGCGGCAGGGGAGACUGGAAUUCCUGGUGUAGCGGUGGAAUGCGCAGAUAUCAGGAGGAACACCGGUGGCGAAGGCGGGUCUCUGGGCCGUUACUGACGCUCAUGCACGAAAGCGUGGGGAGCAAACAGG
Molecule: ribosomal RNA, 254 nt
Filed under: uncultured bacterium
Lineage: Bacteria
Description: partial 16S ribosomal RNA
Rfam family: Bacterial small subunit ribosomal RNA
Source: RNAcentral